Myotis myotis is the source of this 837-nucleotide long non-coding RNA. RefSeq lists it as uncharacterized. The transcript is spliced from 3 exons. NCBI's taxonomy places the organism in Eukaryota, Metazoa, Chordata, Mammalia, Chiroptera, Vespertilionidae. The record is from RefSeq and is a predicted model, not a curated record.
AAAAUAUUGAAUGAAAAUUUCCAUGAUGCCAUGUUAAAGGGCUUAAAGGGCUUUAAAAAGGAACAAGCAGUAAAUACUAGGAACUCUGCUGAGUGCUAAGGUUACAGAGACGCAAGUCCUCCUCUCACAGAGCCUGCGGCCUGCUGGGGUAGAGAGGACCUUAAAGGAAAAACUCAGAGUUACUGACAAAUCUUGAGAGAGCAGAAGGGAAGGGGAGAGGCAGAGAGAGAGAGAGAAGCAACGAUGAUGUGAGAGAGACAAAUUGAUUGGUUCCGCAUACACCCCAUCCAGGACUGAGGAUUGAGCCUGCAACCGAGUUUCUAGGUUUUGUGUUCUUGCAGAGAAAGGCUGCACUGCCCUGAUUUCUAAGACACGGCAGUCAUGGUGCAUGGUGACUUAGAACACGUGGCCACAGUACUGGCCGGGGAGGCGGUGGAGACAGGAAACCAGAGGAGCAGGGUCAGGACCGGCUGAGUCAGGACUGAGGGGCUCUCCCUGGACCCAGCAGGGUGCUGGGCUGCACUGGUGAGUACAGACAAUGAGGAUCUCUCACCUCCAUCACUGCGUUAAAUAUCAGGCCCUUAGCAGGAUAUCAUUUCUAUUAGCAGUUUCCAUUUUUUGGAGGAAAAUGAAAAAAUUAAUUAGAAAGAAUUCAGAGAAGGCAAAGAUAAAGGUUUAAAAAAACCCUGAAUAUAUGUCUCAUAAAGAAAGUUUAUAACUUGGACUCACUUAAGGAAAAAAUAUUAACUCCAGGGGGUAAAUUCCUUUUUGUGUAUGGGCAUAAGGCUGUAUGGUUACUUUCCAUCUUUAAAGGAGAACAAAAUAGGAGAAGAAAAG